GAUGAACGCUGGCGGUGUGCCUUAGGCAUGCAAAUCGAGCGACGGCCCUUCGGGGUACGGAGCGGUGGACGGGUGAGUAACGCGUAGGAACCUACCCCUUGGCGGGGAAUAGCCAGCCGAAAGGUUGGGUAAUACCGCAUAAUCUCUUCGGAGCAAAGAGCAUAACUGCUCACCGAGGGAGGGGCCUGCGUCCUAUCAGCUUGUUGGUGAGGUAACGGCUCACCAAGGCAAUGACGGGUAGGGGGCGUGAGAGCGUGUUCCCCCACAAGGUCACUGAGACACGGGGCCUACACCUAAGGGUGGCAGCAACUAGGAAUAUUGCGCAAUGGGCGAAAGCCUGACGCAGCGACACCGCGUGUGGGAAGAAGCCUUUCGGGGUGUAAACCACUGUGGCAGGGGAAGAAGAUCUGACGGUACCCUGCUAGAAAGCACCUGCAAACUACGUGCCAGCAGCCGCGGUAAUACGUAGGGUGCAAGCGUUAUCCGGAAUUACUGGGCGUAAAGCGUACCGUAGGCGGUGUAAUGCGUCCGAUUUGAAAGCCCACGGCUCAACCGUGGAAACGGGUCGGAUACGAUUAGACUUGAGUAUGUUAGGGGAAGCCGGAAUUGACGGUGGAGGGGUGAAAUCCGUUGAUAUCGUUAGGAACACCAAGGGCGAAGGCAGGCUUCUGGGGCAUCACUGACGCUAAGGGACGAAAGCUAGGGUAGCAAACCGGAUUAGAGACCCGGGUAGUCCUAGCCGUAAACGAUGGAUACUAGCUGGUCCAGUUUUACUGGUCUGGCGUAAGCUAACGCGUUAAGUAUCCCGCCUGGGGAGUACGACCGCAAGGUUAAAACUCAAAGGAAUUGACGGGGAUCUGCACAACCAGUGGAGCAUGUGGUUUAAUUCGAGACAAAGCGAAGAACCUUACCUAGGUUUGACAUUCUACUGCGAAUUCGGUGAAAGCCGAACGUCCUUCGAGGGAGUAGAACAGCUGCUGCAUGGCUGUCGUCAGCUCGUGUCGUGAGACGUCCGCUUAAGUGCGGUAACGAGCGCAACCCUUAUCUUGUGUUACAUUUCACAAGAGACUGCCUUGUUACAAACAGGGAGGAAGGAGAGGAUGACGUCAAGUCAGCAUGGCGCUUACACCUAGGGCAACACACAUCCUACAAUGGCCACAACAACGGGUCGCGAUGGCGCGAGCCUUAGCCAAUCCUUAAAUGUGGUCUCAGUUCGAAUUGCAGGCUGAAAUUUGCCUGCAUGAAGUUGGAAUUGGUAGUAAUCGCGGGUCAGCAGACCGCGGUGAAUACGUUCUCAGAUCUUGUGCACACUGCCCGUCAAGCCAGCAAAGUCGGCAGCGCCCGAAGUGGAUUUUCUAACUUCGAGCAAUCGGAGAGGGAGUUCCCUAAGGCGAGGUCGGCGAUGAGG
This 1408-nucleotide ribosomal RNA is filed under the name uncultured bacterium. RNAcentral's name for it is "16S ribosomal RNA". It matches the Rfam family "Bacterial small subunit ribosomal RNA". The record is from RNAcentral.